AGGACGAACGCUGGCGGCGUGCUUAACACAUGCAAGUCGAACGGAAAGGCCCGCUUGCGGGUACUCGAGUGGCGAACGGGUGAGUAACACGUGGGCAACCUGCCCUCAGCUCUGGGAUAACUCCGGGAAACCGGUGCUAAUACUGGAUAUCGACUUCUGCCUCGCAUGGGGUGUUGUUGAAACGUUUUUCGGCUGGGGAUCGGGCCCGCGGGCCUAUCAGCUUGUUGGUGGGGUGAUGGCCUACCAAGGCGACGACGGGUA
RNAcentral lists this ribosomal RNA (261 nucleotides) under uncultured bacterium. Its description in RNAcentral is "partial small subunit ribosomal RNA". It matches the Rfam family "Bacterial small subunit ribosomal RNA", at positions 26 to 285 of the family's 1533-position model. The record is from RNAcentral.